This 441-nucleotide ribosomal RNA is filed under the name uncultured bacterium. RNAcentral describes it as "partial 16S ribosomal RNA". It matches the Rfam family "Bacterial small subunit ribosomal RNA", at positions 338 to 795 of the family's 1533-position model. The record is from RNAcentral.
CCUACGGGAGGCAGCAGUCGGGAAUAUUGCGCAAUGGAGGAAACUCUGACGCAGUGACGCCGCGUAUAGGAAGAAGGUCUUCGGAUUGUAAACUAUUGUCGUUAGGGAAGAAAAAGGACAGUACCUAAGGAGGAAGCUCCGGCUAACUACGUGCCAGCAGCCGCGGUAAUACGUAGGGAGCAAGCGUUAUCCGGAUUUAUUGGGUGUAAAGGGCGCGUAGGCGGGAUAGCAAGUCAGAUGUGAAAUCCUAUGGCUUAACCAUAGAACUGCAUUUGAAACUGUUAUUCUAGAGUAUGGGAGAGGUAGGUGGAAUUCUUGGUGUAGGGGUAAAAUCCGUAGAGAUCAAGAGGAAUACUCAUUGCGAAGGCGACCUGCUAGAACAUAACUGACGCUGAUGCGCGAAAGCGUGGGGAGCAAACAGGAUUAGAUACCCUUGUAGUC